AAUAGAUACCCCGGUAGUCCACGCCGUAAACGAUGAGUGCUAAGUGUUAGAGGGUUUCCGCCCUUUAGUGCUGCAGCUAACGCAUUAAGCACUCCGCCUGGGGAGUACGGCCGCAAGGCUGAAACUCAAAGGAAUUGACGGGGGCCCGCACAAGCGGUGGAGCAUGUGGUUUAAUUCGAAGCAACGCGAAGAACCUUACCAGGUCUUGACAUCCUCUGCCAACCCUAGAGAUAGGGCGUUCCCCUUCGGGGGACAGAGUGACAGGUGGUGCAUGGUUGUCGUCAGCUCGUGUCGUGAGAUGUUGGGUUAAGUCCCACAACGAGCGCAACCCUUGAUCUUAGUUGCCAGCAUUCAGUUGGGCACUCUAAGGUGACUGCCGGUGACAAACCGGAGGAAGGUGGGGAUGACGUCAAAUCAUCAUGCCCCUUAUGACCUGGGCUACACACGUGCUACAAUGGAUGGUACAAAGAGCUGCGAACCCGCGAGGGUAAGCCAAUCUCAUAAAGCCAUUCUCAGUUCGGAUUGUAGG
This 529-nucleotide ribosomal RNA is filed under the name uncultured bacterium. RNAcentral describes it as "bacterial SSU rRNA". It matches the Rfam family "Bacterial small subunit ribosomal RNA", at positions 777 to 1304 of the family's 1533-position model. The record is from RNAcentral.